GACAUUAAGAAAAGAAAAAGAGAAACUUGGUUAGUAGAUAGAUAGUCUCUGUGUGAUAGAGACAACAUCCUUAUCGGUAGCCAGAGUUAAUGGAUCUCGUUUGCUAACCCACUUUCUGAUGGUAUAAAAAUUUCACCUGCUUUGAUUUUCUCUAGCAAUUUGCUUGCUUUUAACAGGGAACACAAUUGAUUUGAAGUAAGGAUUAACGAUGGCUUACUACUACAGCUCUGGCUACUACGACAAUAAUUAUCUUGAUCAUGAGCAUCAUCAUCUUCUGACAACUUAUGCUGGUAAAUAUGAAACUGCUCCAUCACAAGCCUUGACUGUGUAUUCUAGCUAUGAUUUCAGUGACAAUGAUUUCUUUCAGUCUGAUCCAACUCCUUAUUCUGGUGUUUAUGAUCCUGCCAUGACAAUAUCCAAGGCUAGAUACUCGUUAUCUACGUCCAGGGAAUCGAAACAUGUGGCGUAUCACCCAGUUUCCUUCAAUAAUACUCAAAACCAAAAUCCGUUUACCAUCUUUUUCUCAAUCCAAGAGUUUAAUCAGCCAGAUUUUCAAGAAUAUGAUCCAACACCUUAUGACGGUGGCUUUGAUCUUGCUGCAACUUAUGGCAAGCCUCUGCCUCCUUCAACUGGAAUAUGUUAUCCACCUUCAUUGAUGGAUCCUACUGAUUCCUCAGAUGAUUUCUCUUAUGAUUCCAUUGAAUCACCUUAUGGCAAAGACCAAGCUGAGGCCAGUGAUUCUGCUGGAAAACCUCUAGAUGGAACCAAACUGAUCCCUGAUAAUAAACCUGAAAAGCAGUCUCAGAAUAAAAAUGGUAGUAUUAGCUCAGAAAAAAAUAAGCCUUCUGAGUUAAAAGCAGACAACGAUUGCCAUAAUGACCAGCCUGGAUUGUGCCAAGGUAAUUGUGAUUACUAUAAAGAAGUGCCUGAAAUUGUUCCAGCAGGGUAUGACCUGGAAGCAAUAGACAUUUGUGAGAGCUUGUUUGGGUACUUUCCUUGCUUGUCGCAGUAUAAGAGUUGCAUAAACCAUCAAGAAAGUCUUGACUAUGAAGACUGCAUCUGGAAUGGAGCUGCAGAUUAUCUCUUUGGUAGUUCUUAUGAUCCAUACCAGUAAAGGUGGGAUGAAGGUGAUUGUGUUGAGACAAGCUCUGGCUCCCAGAGGACUUAUCAUGAUUGUUAUUAGUAGGUUGAGUAUGACCAGAAAUUCAAGAGUCCAGAGACAUGUUGAAUGAGUCUGAGGAUUCUUUGGCCCUUUCAUUAGAUUUGUUGUUAAGUUCCGGGUUGAGUUGCCUGACGACAUGACACACUCUUCUCAUCUGCCGAAAAAACUCUGGAGGAAUAACAAGAAAGAAGUUUGUUCUUACUUUCGGAAAGAAGACUUUGUGAAGGAGAAAGGUCGCUCUUGCGGCUUUUCUUCUGCUGCUUCAGAAAAGCUUCUCCUCUAUUAAACUAUCUUAAAUAUUUUUGCAAUUUCAGUUAUAUUUCGAAUUACUAU
Molecule: non-coding RNA, 1495 nt
Organism: Carica papaya (papaya)
Lineage: Eukaryota; Viridiplantae; Streptophyta; Magnoliopsida; Brassicales; Caricaceae
Source: RefSeq, a predicted model, not a curated record